AACACCUGCUGUAUUCUCCCGGCAAACACUGGGGCCAUGGUGUUUCUCCUCUAAUGACACCUCAUCAAUCUGCUCCUAUCAACGUCCCAGCCAUGGAGGUGACUUGGAGUGCUCAGAAGCUAUAGAAAAUGUCAACGUUUUGGGAGAAAAGAGGGGAAAGCAAUGUCCAUCUGUACCCAGCUUUCACUUCAGAUUUUGUGAAAUAACACCGACACAUGAGAGUGUACCCAAAACAUCUUUGGUUGCCACUGGAUGCUGAAGCAUUGCGAUCAUCUGAUGUGUCCCUCCAUGGGCAGGAAGUCUCCUACCUCUCGCUUCAGGUUGCAGUUGAUCCGGAGGGGGAUCCUGGGGAUGGUAGCGCCCAUUAGCGCAGUGUCAGCCUUCUUGCAGCAUGGCUAAUGCAGCAUCUGAAAGGAGCAGACGUGCUCGGCUUAAGCAGCCAUAGCGCUGCCACCAGAAUAGCCAGGAAUAACUUGGAGUCAGACUGCUGCUUUAGUUGUCCCUUGGCCCCUUCAUUGGCAUUCUCCAGGACCACCUUCCUUUGAGGAGAGAGAAUAACCCAGGGAAGCAUGGUGUCCACUGGAUUGUUAUGGCUGUGUAAAAAGAGACUGAAAUGGUGAGACCACUUGUAUAUGCUUUGUGUUCACAUGUGCUGGCUUCAUGAUAGAUCAGGCAGUGGACAUGCAUCUGGUCCUGCCAGCAUUACGAGUGCCGGCCUCCAAUCUGCAGCAGAUAAAAGACAGGGAUCAGAGCCACAUGCCCUAGCUGCCAACCAUGGAGCUCUCAGCAACCUCGAGACAUGUCAGGUUGCUGACGGAUACAACUUCCUUGUGAUACAGAAGAGGGCAGUGAUGUUUCAUUUUUGGGGACCGGAAUCAGCAGGGGUACCAGCUGUACAAACUGAUGUGCAAAGAAGUUACUCUGCAAGGGAUACUUGA
RNAcentral lists this long non-coding RNA (938 nucleotides) under Cairina moschata (Muscovy duck). Its description in RNAcentral is "domestica (muscovy Duck (domestic type)) lncRNA (ENSCMMG00000003878.1)". The record is from RNAcentral. Lineage: Eukaryota; Metazoa; Chordata; Aves; Anseriformes; Anatidae.